UCCAGUCCUCCUCAAUGCUGGACAGUCGUAGCCCAGACUGUCCGAAGCAUAAAUAUAUUUAAUGGACUUAUAUUAAAUCAGAGUUUUAAUAUCCUAGUGCCUGAAGAUUAGCCCCUCUUCCUGCUCUCUUGGAACUUAAAACUACACU
RNAcentral lists this small nucleolar RNA (148 nucleotides) under Drosophila persimilis. RNAcentral's name for it is "snoRNA:GL27940". Lineage: Eukaryota; Metazoa; Arthropoda; Insecta; Diptera; Drosophilidae. The record is from RNAcentral. RNAcentral also lists the same sequence under 1 other name.